Small nucleolar RNA from Tachyglossus aculeatus (Australian echidna), 138 nucleotides. NCBI's taxonomy places the organism in Eukaryota, Metazoa, Chordata, Mammalia, Monotremata, Tachyglossidae. The record is from RefSeq and is a predicted model, not a curated record.
UCCCUAUCAGGACCACACCAGGAGAGUUCCCAGUACUCUACCAGUCUCGGCUAUAGGAGGGAGAGUCAAGCAGAGGCCUGUCCAUUCCAUUCCUAGCAUGGGCAGUAGCUAGUGAGUGGAAGGCAAUCUGCUACGAGU